UAUUAGAAUGCAGUCAGUAUUUUGGCAGACAUUUUAAGGGUGUUUUAAAAUGAAAUAAUUAGAGAUGACAGUCUUAGAAGUAGCUGUUGUUUAUAAAUGUACUUCAGGGGGCUUUUCUAUUACCACUUUUUAUCUCCCUGACACCUGGUACAUUCAUUACACCCUUCUGGCACUCACUAAGCUGGGCAGGUUCUGAGCUGGCCUGGCCUACUUCUCAACCGACUUCCCAGCCAUGUGUCCUGUUGCCUUCAUCUUGGUCUCACGCUGACCUCCUUCUUCAUCUGUGUCAUCAUGGGACUCCUCAGCUCACCUGAGACUCUCUUUCUCUCUCAAGGCAUGGAAGUCCCAUAUCUUUCCUGCCCAGCUAAGAGGCUGAUCAGCUCUUUAUUGACCAAUCAGGAGAUGAUGGAGAACAGUGGUUCACAAAGUACUGAGCCAGAAAAGGCCCCUAUUUUUUCUCGACCCCACUCGGCUCAGCCUGAGUUUUACAUACUAGGAAGUUUAGCGUUGCUUUGCAGCCUUUUCCUUUCACCUUUCUCUUAUGGAACUAUACUUACCUAUUAAUACUUAACAGUAAUAAAAUUGGAAGUGAGGCAACUAUAUGUCACUUUUAGGCUGAUUAUUACUUCAGUCAUUCUUAGCUAGUUAAAUAUCUUACUUUUCUACAUCCUUGUUUCCCAUUUUUUUAUUUCCUGCUUGUCUCAUUAGCUUGUGAUUAAUGUAUGGUUUUUAGUCUUUUCUAGAUAAUCGAAGUAGAACAUAAAAAAGGACUUCUGAAUUUUUUCAUUCACUUUCUGUUUGACUGUGCUUGUCACGGGCACAAAUACUUCCCUAACUACCUAUGUAUAUGUCAAAUAACAUAACUAAAAAUUUUAACCAUGCAAUUAUUCUUUUAGUCCAUAAGAAUAUGGAGUUACUCCUUUUUCCUACUUGUAUGUUAGACACCAUUGUUAAUAGUUCAGAAGCUAAAAGAGACUGUUCACAAUUCUUGUCCAGUAUAGUCUUCAGCAUUUACUAGCAGUGCUUUAAUUUUUUUAAAAAAGAGUUAGUAUACAAAGUAAUGGGUUUUGUUAUGGCAAUUUUAUACGUAUAUGCCCAUAUACUGCAUUUUAAUUUAGCUCUUUUCUCCACUGCUCUUCCUUGUGCUCUCUGUCCCUCCACUCUCACUGGUUCCCUUCCAGGCCAGUGGUCUGCUCUUCCGCUUCAGGGCACAGUAUUUCAUUGACCUCUCUUCCCCCUCCCUUAAGAUCUUUUCUUCUCCUUUUAUGAUUUCAUUUCUAGUUUCACACCUCUAUCUCUGUGUCUCUCUGACUAUCUCUCUGUCUGUGUCUGUCUGUCUUUCUCUCAAAAUAUUCAAAUCUAUUUUCUUGAUCUGAGAGAAAAUAUGCUAUAUGUCUUUUGAGUCUGGCCUAUACUGUGUAACAUAAUGGAAGUCAUUCCUUUUAAAAUUAGAGCCUUUAUAAUCUGUUACUUGCCUAACUUUCUGGCCCCUUCACUUGUACUUCCCAUUGCUAGUGCCAGCCAGCUCUAUAUAAUUGUAGUUCCUUAAACAUACUCAGUUUUCUCUUCUGUGCCUUUAGAGUGCCCUUUACUUGGACUGUUAUUCUGCUGUUCCUGGCUCCCUUUCUUGUCAUCUGACAGCUGUUUCAAGCCUGUUUGGUUGUUAUUGACUGGAGUCAUUUCAUGAUGACUCCUCACUUUCUGUGCUCCCAUAGUGUCCCCAUUGUUGCCUUUAAAAUUAUACUGUAUUGUUUGUCACCUUAUGUGACUGUAAGCUCGAUGGGAACACAAAUGGAGUCUUUCAUCUCUCCCUGCAUUGGACAGAACACUCAGUGUUCAAAUGGAAGCAGGAAAAGAAACUGAACUUGAGUGUCUUUCAUGUGCCAGGAAAGUUAAGCUUAGGUAUCUAGAUACAAUAAAUUACGUUAAGUUGUCCCAAUAACUUUCUAAAACAUAUGAUUGUUCCAUAUAUUAUUAUUAUUAUAUAUUAUUAUAAUCUGAAGUUAAGUAGUUUGUCUAGUAGUUAAGUGCUAGAACUGGGGCAUAAGAAAAGACACAUUUUGACUCCAUAAUUUCUGGUAUGUCAUUUCGGUCAUACUGCUUUCUUAACUGUAUAGAUGUGUUAAUGGAGAUGAUGAGGUAUAGUGGUUUAAAGACCAUCUAUAUAGUCAUAAUGCAAAUAUGAGUUUAAAUUUGAACUUUACAUUUAACAAUUUUCAGAAUCUUAAUCUCUAUAAACCAAGUUUUCUCUUUAAUUAUGAUUGAUAGCGUUAUUUACCUCAUAGGAUUGCUGUUAGAAUUAAAUAAAAGAAUACAUGAGGACAGUUUUAUGCUGUGUUGGGUACAUAACACAUAUGAGUGAAUUGUAUCAGGUAAGGAUAUUUAUAAACAGCUUAUUGACUAGCACUAACUUAAGCAAAAUAAUAAGUAGUAAUAAUAAAAAGUUUUGAGGUAGUCUUCAGUGAGUAACCUCUUUCACAUUAUUGUAGGGUACCUGUGAAGUUGCAAGUGUUAGCCUACAGCUGGAAUCAAUGAGAAAGAAGGAAGAGUAGGUAUCAGCCAUGUCUCUAUAUCUUACUAGAAGGGAAAAAAGCCUUUUAAAGUUCACAUUAUAUCUCAGUUCUGAAGUUGGUUUUGUGGAACACUGUAGUCAUUUCAUUGUUCUCCUAAUUAUCUAAACUUUAAUGAAAAAGAUCAAGAAAGUGGAACAUAUGUUUGAGAUUAGAUCAUCUUUCUUCUCGGGGGAGAGCUCAUGGCUCCCUCACCUAAAGUUAAGGAAAGUAUCUUCCUCAGUGACUGAUGGUGGGGUUUUGUAAUGAAACAGCCCAAAAAACUGUUAUACAGUGUGUUUAUUCAUAAUUUGAAGCAGUAAAAGGGCAUUAUGCAUUGUUUCAAUUCAUAUCAAGGAAAAUCUAAGAGUAAAUUAACUGUGUUCCUAUAUAAUAUUUAGGUAUUAACAUAUUUUUACCACCAAGUGUGAGGACCAGAGUUAGGUCCUCAGAACUCAUGGAAAGCAGGGAUGUACUGGUAGCAUAAGUCUGUGUCUCAGGGCACCUAUGUCAAGAGGGGAAUGAGAAACAUGAGGAUCACUGGAGGCUCAGGUUAGCCUACCUGGUGUAUGCAUCUGUGAUCAACAAGACAUCCUACCUUCAGACAGGAUGGAAGUCAAGAAUUGACACCUGAGGUUGUCUUUUGAUCUCCACAUGAAAUGCUUAAGUGCCUGUGCACCUGUUACCUCCAAACCCCUUCUCACAUU
RNAcentral lists this long non-coding RNA (3256 nucleotides) under Mus caroli (Ryukyu mouse). RNAcentral's name for it is "predicted gene 43259 (MGP_CAROLIEiJ_G0034528.1)". The record is from RNAcentral. Lineage: Eukaryota; Metazoa; Chordata; Mammalia; Rodentia; Muridae.